CAGUCGCCACGGUAAUACGGAGGGUGCAAGCGUUAUCCGGAUUUAUUGGGUUUAAAGGGUCCGUAGGCGGACUUAUAAGUCAGUGGUGAAAGCCUGUCGCUUAACGAUAGAACUGCCAUUGAUACUGUAAGUCUUGAGUAUAUUUGAGGUAGCUGGAAUAAGUAGUGUAGCGGUGAAAUGCAUAGAUAUUACUUAGAACACCAAUUGCGAAGGCAGGUUACCAAGAUAUAACUGACGCUGAGGGACGAAAGCGUGGGUAGCGAACAGGAUUAGAUACCCGUGUAGUCCCUGUCUCUUAUAC
RNAcentral lists this ribosomal RNA (301 nucleotides) under uncultured bacterium. RNAcentral describes it as "partial 16S ribosomal RNA". It matches the Rfam family "Bacterial small subunit ribosomal RNA", at positions 509 to 807 of the family's 1533-position model. The record is from RNAcentral.